Molecule: long non-coding RNA, 1200 nt
Organism: Halichondria panicea
Lineage: Eukaryota; Metazoa; Porifera; Demospongiae; Suberitida; Halichondriidae
Exons: 3
Source: RefSeq, a predicted model, not a curated record
ACGUAUGAUCCAUCUUUUGCUACAGACACAGAAUCUUCUAUUGCCAGCAGAGUUUUGAACAAUCAAAAUUUAGCUCUAACAGAUAAUCAAGUCAGAACUGUUUUUGUUCGAUCAGGUUUUGCACAAGCUUCUCUCAACCUCCGAAUCAGUUUUCAGUUCAAUAGAUUCCAUGAUUUUUACUGGCUCCUACUCAAUGAAGUGCGAUUUUGUACAGACACACAGCCAUUUUUCAGGCCAGUUGUUAUGUUCCUAGUACCGUUGUCCAAUGUUAUCCAACCUAGUGCGGGUGAUCUGAGAAGAGGAUCAACAGAGUUAGUGUGCACUGUUUCCAGUGAAGGAUCGUACACAUGGCAGUGGGAGAGAGAUAAUGUUAUGAUAGGGAAUAAUGGCGACUACACAGUCACCAUUGGAGACGGAAGUAGAACAACUAAGUUGACGAUCAACAAACUAGACUUUAAUGAUACUGCUGAAUAUGAAUGUACGGGAACAACAGUGGAUUUAUCGAACAUAAUGUAUAUACAUUUUUUCAUCCAAGACCUUCAAUUUCCAGAAAUUAUUAUUACUGCACCUGAUGCUAAUAGAUAUCUACGUUACUCUGACCUGUGAGCUCCAUGGUUACCAGUCAUCACUCUCUCCUCCUGUGUGGUUGGACUUGGGUGGCAGUGAAAUAACCGCAUCUACAAAAUACAUGUACACCAUCACUUCUGGUGAAGGAGGGAACACAAUUGUCUUUGAGAAUGGCACUGCUAUCCCUAGUGUGAUUGUCAGCCUUACAAUUCGAGAUCUAUCGUUAGAUGAUGGAGGGAACUACACGUGUCGUGGUGUCAGAAGAGGAGAGAGUGUCACUCAACUUGUGAUCAAAGAUGGCGAGCAACCUACUUCAACCUCUGAUAUUGUUCUGCUACCUGUUGGUACUGUGUAUGCUUUAGUGGCAGUCAUAAUCGUAUUAUUGAUAGCUUUGGUUGCUUACAGCAUCUCGGUCCUGUACCUUCUUUGGAAGAUCAAGAUUCUCUCAGCUCGUUUAUCAGCGCCCACUCAAGCAAACAUACCACUAUUUGCUCCAAUGCAGGACAGGGAACAUACUUCAUCUUCUGUGAAUGAAGACACCUCAAGAUGUUAUUGAAAGUUCUCAGUACGAGAACGUUGAUUUAAAUUAGCUAAGUAAACAGUGACAGUUUUUAAUAUGUGUGUUUGUUGCAU